RNAcentral lists this ribosomal RNA (259 nucleotides) under uncultured bacterium. RNAcentral describes it as "partial 16S ribosomal RNA". It matches the Rfam family "Bacterial small subunit ribosomal RNA", at positions 795 to 1052 of the family's 1533-position model. The record is from RNAcentral.
CCACGCCGUAAACGAUGAGUGCCAGAUGUCGGGGGUCAAACCUCGGUAUCGCCGUUAACACAAUAAGCACUCCGCCUGGGGAGUACGCACGCAAGUGUGAAACUCAAAGGAAUUGACGGGGGCCCGCACAAGCGGAGGAACAUGUGGUUUAAUUCGAUGAUACGCGAGGAACCUUACCCGGGAUUGAAAUGUAUAUGCUGACAGGUAGAAAUACUUGUUGUUCCCUUCGGGGACAUAUAUGUAGGUGCUGCAUGGUUGU